RNAcentral lists this long non-coding RNA (715 nucleotides) under Brassica rapa (field mustard). RNAcentral describes it as "long non-coding RNA (BRAP_LNC001329)". Lineage: Eukaryota; Viridiplantae; Streptophyta; Magnoliopsida; Brassicales; Brassicaceae. The record is from RNAcentral.
UGGCUAACUACCAAAUACAGUAACAGUCAAAUAAUAAAUUAACAAUAUUUACAUUUAACAUAAUUAUAAAAAUAUCAAAAAUUAGAAAAUUAUAAUAAAUAUAAAAUUUAUAUUUAGAAAUUUAUAAUUUUAAUUUUAAAAAAUUUAUUGAAAUUGUUUUUAUUAUAAAAUUUUAUAAUAUUAAUUAAAAUAUAAUAGAUAUAUUUUAAUAUUUUCAUAAUUUCAAUUUUAAAUUUUUUAUUAAAUUACUUUUUAUAUAUAUUAUUUAAAAAAAAAGAAAAAAAAUUUACCCUCCCGCAACUGUCCGCAACCGCAAAUGCUAGCUGGAGCCAGCGUUUGAAUUUAUAAGAUUCGGAGCGGUUUGAAGCGGUUUAGAGCGAUUUGAGUGAUUGUUGCAAACCGCCGAUAACCGUUACCAACCGUAAAAAGCUGCAUUUGCGGGUGGUAACGGGAAAACCAGUCGCCCCCUUAAUGGUGGAAGUGUGGAACAUAGGCUUGGAACGCCGAACAUGUUUGCCGAGGUUGGAUCAACACAACCAAGCAAACUCAUUUAGAAUGAAACAAGAAAAAAAAACGCUUUAAGAGCAUUACAAAAAAAAAAUGGCAAGAUGUUGUGACAAUUGUAGUAUGUAGCCAAUAUGUUUAUAUUGGCAUCAGUUGUUUUUGAUAUAUAUAUUUAUAAGAUAAUUAAAUCACAAUAAUUAUUAAAUAUUCG